GAUGAACGCUGGCGGCGUGCCUAACACAUGCAAGUCGAACGAAGCGCUUUUGCUCGAUUCUUCGGAUGAUGGUGAGAGUGACUGAGUGGCGGACGGGUGAGUAACGCGUGGGUAACCUGCCUCAUACAGGGGGAUAACAGUUAGAAAUGACUGCUAAUACCGCAUAAGACCACAGUACCGCAUGGUACAGGGGUAAAAACUCCGGUGGUAUGAGAUGGACCCGCGUCUGAUUAGC
This 235-nucleotide ribosomal RNA is filed under the name uncultured bacterium. RNAcentral's name for it is "partial 16S ribosomal RNA". It matches the Rfam family "Bacterial small subunit ribosomal RNA", at positions 28 to 245 of the family's 1533-position model. The record is from RNAcentral.